GGAUUAGAUACCCUGGUAGUCCACGCCGUAAACGAUGUCGACCAGCCGUUGGGUGCCUAGCGCACUUUGUGGCGAAGUUAACGCGAUAAGUCGACCGCCUGGGGAGUACGGCCGCAAGGUUAAAACUCAAAUGAAUUGACGGGGGCCCGCACAAGCGGUGGAGCAUGUGGUUUAAUUCGAUGCAACGCGAAGAACCUUACCUACCCUUGACAUCCUGCGAACUUGUGAGAGAUCACUUGGUGCCUUCGGGAGCGCAGAGACAGGUGCUGCAUGGCUGUCGUCAGCUCGUGCCG
This 293-nucleotide ribosomal RNA is filed under the name uncultured bacterium. RNAcentral describes it as "partial 16S ribosomal RNA". It matches the Rfam family "Bacterial small subunit ribosomal RNA", at positions 775 to 1067 of the family's 1533-position model. The record is from RNAcentral.